GAGGGAGAUAUAUGGAUAAGAAAGCACCUAAGGGAGAUCGAAGGAGAAGGCCAAUGCCAGUGAUGAUGGGAAGGAAAGCAAUGGUAGAGACUGGCAGGAGGUGGCGGCAAGGAGAGCAGGGAGGAGAUCAGCGUUUCUCUUUUUUGAAAAUUUGUGGGAAGGAAAGCACCUAAGGGAGAUUGGAGGAGGAAGCCGAGACCGGUAAGAAUGGGGAGGAAGAUGAUGGCAGAGACUGGUGGG
This 240-nucleotide long non-coding RNA is filed under the name Elaeis guineensis (African oil palm). RNAcentral's name for it is "long non-coding RNA (EGUI_LNC006938)". Lineage: Eukaryota; Viridiplantae; Streptophyta; Magnoliopsida; Arecales; Arecaceae. The record is from RNAcentral.